AGCGCGCGCAGGUGGUUUCUUAAGUCUGAUGUGAAAGCCCACGGCUCAACCGUGGAGGGUCAUUGGAAACUGGGAGACUUGAGUGCAGAAGAGGAAAGUGGAAUUCCAUGUGUAGCGGUGAAAUGCGUAGAGAUAUGGAGGAACACCAGUGGCGAAGGCGACUUUCUGGUCUGUAACUGACACUGAGGCGCGAAAGCGUGGGGAGCGAACAGGAAUAGAUACCCUGGUAGUCCACGCCGUAAACGAUGAGUGCUAAGUGUUAGAGGGUUUCCGCCCUUUAGUGCUGAAGUUAACGCAUUAAGCACUCCGCCUGGGGAGUACGGCCGCAAGGCUGAAACUCAAAGGAAUUGACGGGGGCCCGCACAAGCGGUGGAGCAUGUGGUUUAAUUCGAA
Molecule: ribosomal RNA, 393 nt
Filed under: Bacillus sp. (in: firmicutes)
Lineage: Bacteria; Bacillati; Bacillota; Bacilli; Caryophanales; Bacillaceae
Description: bacterial SSU rRNA
Rfam family: Bacterial small subunit ribosomal RNA
Source: RNAcentral